This 247-nucleotide ribosomal RNA is filed under the name uncultured bacterium. RNAcentral describes it as "partial small subunit ribosomal RNA". It matches the Rfam family "Bacterial small subunit ribosomal RNA", at positions 26 to 285 of the family's 1533-position model. The record is from RNAcentral.
AGAAUCAACGCUGGCGGCGUGCCUAACACAUGCAAGUCGAACGAGAAAGUGGGAGCAAUCCCAUGAGUAAAGUGGCGCACGGGUGAGUAACACGUGACUAACCUACCCUUGAGUGGGGGAUAACCUAGGGAAACCUGGGCUAAUACCGCAUAAUACCUACGGGUCAAAGGAGCAAUUCGCUUUAGGAGGGGGUCGCGGCAGAUUAGUUAGUUGGCGGGGUAAUGGCCCACCAAGACUGUGAUCGGUA